RNAcentral lists this ribosomal RNA (478 nucleotides) under uncultured bacterium. Its description in RNAcentral is "partial 16S ribosomal RNA". It matches the Rfam family "Bacterial small subunit ribosomal RNA", at positions 28 to 523 of the family's 1533-position model. The record is from RNAcentral.
GACGAACGCUGGCGGCGUGCUUAACACAUGCAAGUCGAACGGUAAGGCCCUUCGGGGUACACGAGUGGCGAACGGGUGAGUAACACGUGGGUGAUCUGCCCUGCACUUCGGGAUAAGCCUGGGAAACUGGGUCUAAUACCGGAUAGGACUCCUGGCUUCAUGGUUGGGGGUGGAAAGCUUUUGCGGUGUGGGAUGGGCCCGCGGCCUAUCAGCUUGUUGGUGGGGUAAUGGCCUACCAAGGCGAAGAAGGGUAGCCGGCCUGAGAGGGUGACCGGUCACACUGGGACUGAGGGACGGCCCAGACUCCUACGGGGGGCAGCAGUGGGGAAUAUUGCACAAUGGGCGCGAGCCUGAUGCAGCGAUGCCGCGUGAGGGAUGACGGCCUUCGGGUUGUAAACCUCUUUCAGCUAUGACGAAGCGCAAGUGACGGUAGUAGCAGAAGAAGGACCGGCCAACUACGUGCCAGCCGCCGCGGUAA